Molecule: long non-coding RNA, 6055 nt
Organism: Cercocebus atys (sooty mangabey)
Lineage: Eukaryota; Metazoa; Chordata; Mammalia; Primates; Cercopithecidae
Exons: 6
Source: RefSeq, a predicted model, not a curated record
AUAUUGCUCAUGCUCAUACUUCAUCUGAAAUGUGAUUUUGAAUAUCCCUCUAGCUGACUGCAGACACUAAUGAAAAUUGCCUCUUUCUUUCUCUCUUUUUUCCCACCCUGUUUUCCAACCUUAAGAUCAGAGCCCUUCAUUCACAGCAUGGAGUAGUGGGUUUAAUUUCCAGCUGAAGUUUCAAGUUUAGAUGUUUAGUGGAUAUCUCGAUGGCUGCCAAAGCUGGCAAUGCCUUUUUGAAGAACUAAAAGGCUUGCCUGUUUAUUUUACUAGUUGAACAUCUUCUUGCAGUUGUCUUAAGAUGAUUAAUCAUUUGUCUUUCAUCUGCUUUUACCUAUUACCUUUGAACUUUUCCUUUUUAAACUGGUAUUCAGUUUAGUUGUUUCAAAUGCCUCCUUGCUGUAAAUGGAAGUUCUUUCUGCUGUACCACAGGAGUGAGAUCUAAUAUGUAAGAAUUAUCCCUGCACAGUCAAUAGAAUUCCAGAAUGGGUAAACAAGAAGAAAGAGUGCAACAAUUCCUUGAAAUUUGCUGAAUUCUCAAAUGGAUAAACACAUUUAAAGGAGACAAAAGAAGACAGGAGCCUUGACCAGGAUGCAGGCAGAUGAAACCGCAGUUUUCCAAACAGAAGUUACACCUUCAUCCUGGAGUGAAGAGUACACAAAGCAGAGCUUCCGGCAACCUACAGCCAAUCUUGAACCAGGAGCAAGAUAAAGAUUUCUGUUGUUAAUAGGAUAAGCACACUGCUGAUAUAAUUACAUCCAAAAGGAAAGAAACAAAACCAGCAGUUAUAAUCCAUUCAUUUUACUAACAACAACCUGCUAUGUGCCAGGCACUGUACCCGUAGCCUUGUUACAAGCCAAAUAGUACUCUGCAUGCCAUACUAGAUGUUCCACACAUGCUCCUGGACUGAUCCAUCAUGAGACCUGGCAAGCAUGGGUUACACCCUUGAGAUUUUGAAAUGCAGUGUUUGCAUUGCAAGUGACAUCUGGCUGACAGGAACUUGGAGAAAUGGGAUACGAAGUGAAUGCUGCAGUUACCACAAGCAUCAUAUUUAUCAAAAGGUUUAAGGUUGGCCUGUCUUUGUUUAACAUACGAAACUUGGAACAGUGAUGAGGAAGCAGCAUGUUUUGGUGUGGCGUGCAUUUUUUAACUGAGCUUUUUAGUAAAAGGGUAGUCAAAGAAUAAACACUAAUUGUAUUAUUUGUUCUGCUCAUGAAACUAAAUAUUAUACAUCCUAAUUUUAAGAAGACAGAUUUAAAUUAGGUUUAAUAUAAUUUCCAUACAUUUUGCCUUUAUUCAGAGAAUUUGCAGAUUUCAUAUAAGAAGAACAUGCAUGUUGAGCACUAUUCAUCAUUACUCAGAAAAGGCGAUGUGGGAGGAAAAAAAGCUCAACCUCAUUUUUAGUUUUAUUUUCUAAUUUGUAAAUGUGCAAAAUUGAAGUAAGACAUGUGAUAUGUAGUACAAUAUUUGCAAGCUCUGAAUUUGCUGUAAUACACACAUACAAAUAUAAGCAUUUUCCUAUUUUCCCUUUUCUUGGAAAUAAUGGGGCAAAUUAUUAAUUAAGUAAUGAGGAAUAUCAUUCAUUUAACAAAGAUUUAUGAGCCUACUAUGGCCUGUGGGCUACCCAGGUGCUGGAGAUAUACAGAGGAAUAUGACAACCCCUGCUCUUAAUAAACUCACAGUCAGGUGGAAGGGGAGGUCACUAUGAAAUAACUAAGUACAGUAUAAGGCUAUAAAUACCAUGAAAACAAUAUGGAAGUAUUGAUAAAGGGGAGUAGAUGGUAAGAGUGGUCCAUCUGCCACAGACAGGUAGGGAACAGAAAGCGCAACAUAAAAGCCAUUUUGAAAUCCUCUUAGUGUAUCCAAGUAAGACUCACUCAUUGUUUGAAAUAGGAAAAUAGAAAGAUGGUAAAAACUCAUCCCAGCUCUUAUCACCUAAAGACAAAUACUAUGAACAUUUCCAUCUAGUGUUUUCCGAAUCACUGUUUUUUUUUAGUUUUGAAAGCAUUGUGAUAAUACUGCAAAUAUGAUUAAUGUAUGAAAAAAAACUAAGCUGCUUUCAAAGAAAACAUAAAAUGUCAUCAUUUAAUGCAUUUCUAUGUUAGUUUAAACUGGAUAUUGUCUAUAUAACAAUGUCCAUAUAACAAUCCAAUUGAUUGUCAAUACCGUAAAUUAGCCAUUACUCUAUUAGGAUGUUUACCUUGUUUUCCAUCUCCCUCAACCAACAAUAAAUUAGUGACGUCUAAGAAAAAAGGCAUUCAGGAGAAGAGAGAGAGAUCUCCAAUGGUGGGAUUCCUGGCACCAAAGUAAGAUGUGAAAGGGGUAAGUCACAUCUUACCCUUUUCAACAUUUAUUUCAACAUUUAUUCAGCAUCUGCUACUGUGCUAUGUACUUUGGAUGUGUUAAUUUGUUUAUUGCCACAGGAAUCCUGAUUCAAGUGUAGUAUAGUGAAAAUAUACUCCAGAUUCACCUAGGGCGGAGUUCCAAUCUAAUUCUCAGCUUUGUCCAGAUGUGUGAUUUCCAAAUUUAGCUCAUCUCUCUGACUCUCAGAUUCCUCAUUUAUGAGUUGGGCAAUAUUAUCACUCAUUUGUUUAAUUAUAUUAAGCCCACAUUAGGUAUAUAUGUAUAUUAUGUGUAGGGUAUCUUGACAGGCAGGAAAUGUAAGAUAAGUAUAAUAUGUCUCAUGUCUUUAAGAAGCUUACAGCCUCAUGGCAGAGUCAUUCAUGGGAGGGGGCCUGACAGGUCCCAGGAGACAUAUUCUUCCUGGUGGAGUAGAAUUUGGUCUGGAUCUUAAGUAAUGAGGAGCAGGUUUUAUCUCACAGUUCUUCAACCAAAAUGUUCAUCUUCUGAUAAUCAAUCAAUCAAUCAAUCAAUCAUGUGCCCAGUGUUGUGCAUAUUUGUUCUGUUCCCUGUUCUGUAUAAGCUUACCAAGUAGUUUCAGUCCUAAUGCCUAGAAGAAUGUGGCUUCUGAUUCAUAGAUUAAUACACUAACCUAUUUAAGAAGUGAUUGUGUUGGUUCAGAGGUGAUUGGUUUCUACCAGAGCCUGUCUUUCUAAAAGAUGUGCUCUUGUGAACCUUGUGAACGGAGGGUUCUGUCACUCUAUUAGUAACCAUCUUUGGACACUGUAUUUUAAAAACCUCAUUAAUCUGAAUACAACUGUUACUGUUGUAUACCUAGAAUAACUAGGUUUCACAAAUGGACAAUGGUAUUAAGCAAAAUACAGACAUACUCUAAUCAGAUUUGGGACUGCAAAUGUUAAGUCCGUCCCUGCUAAAAAUUCCUGAAUCUAAAAUUAAAGCUAGAAUGCUCAGACCUAAUGGCAAGUUUUCAAAUGCUCAUAAUUUAGCAAUUUAAAAUGUUUCAGAAAUCAUGAAAAAUGUCAUUUGAACCAAAAAGAUAAUUUAGCAAUUUUUUGUCUCUCUUCUCCUACCAAAAUUUUAUGCAAAAGUGUAUCUGAAAGUUCAACAAAUGUGGGAAAGCAAAUAUAUGUUCAAAUUUCAUUAAUUAACUAUAGUUUUAAAAUAAAACUAUCUACAACUCCUAUCUUCUGUAAUGAAUCAAUGGUGUAUCAGUUAGCUAUUGCCAUAAAGCUGCUGCAUAACAACCUGCUCCAAAAUUCAGUGGCUUAAAACAAACAGCUCAUCUAUUUUGCUUUUGAGGGUUGACUUAACUGGGAUUUGGCUGGCCUAGGCAGAUCAUGGCUAGUGUUGGCUCUAUCCCAUAUAUCUCUUAUCCUCUUCUUGGGACUUGUGGGUUAGUUAGUUAGACAUAUUCUUAUUUUAGUGAUGGAAGAGUCACCAAAGUUUGAGUCCAAUCACCCAAUCAUUUUUCAAACCUCUGUUUGCAUCACAUUUGCUAACAUUGUUCUGACCAAAGUAUGUCAUUUAGCCAUACCCAGAGUCAGGCUGGAUGGGGCACUGCAGAAUUACAGGACAAACAGCAUAGAUGCAGCAAGUGGGGAAGAAGAGGGGCUCUUAGGGUAAUCUACCCUAAAUGGCUGUGGCAUUUUACUACAAAGAAGAAUGGAAUCUAAAUUCAGUGAGUUUUUAUUUUUUAAUUAUCAUGUAUUUAAAGCCUUCUGUAUCCCAGGCAUUGAAUUUUUACCUCAUUAUCUUUCUGCAAUCCUACAAAAUAUAUUUCAACAUCUCAAUUAUGCAGAUGAAGAAAUGGAGGCUCAGCAAUGUCGAGUAAUAUGUUGAAGCUUUCAUGACUGAUCAGUGGCUGAGUCUAGAGUUAAAUCCUAUCCAGGGACUCUGGGCUUUGGCUUCUGUUCUUUCUACUAUGUAAUGAUGACUCUAUUCAGAAUUUCAACUGUAAAAUUUAAGAACAAGAAGAAAUUUUUUAAAUCUCAUCUAGUCUCCUUAUUUUGUAGAUGAGACAACAGAGUCCCAGAGACACGAUUUUUCAUAUUUUUAUCUUACUAAUUAGUUAACAAAAAAAACUAGUGACUAGAACCUGGAUCUCCCAAUUCCUCAUUUACUCAUUAUUUUAUACAUAUUUUUGUCAUUGGUCAUACAUUUACUGAGUACUUACUAUGUGCCAAGCACUGUGGUGAUCAAGUCUUCUAUUGCUGAAAUCAUAUCCUGAUUGUAGAAAUGAAGAGAAAUAGAAGGUCAUGUGUGUGCCUACUAUGUGUCACGGUGGGUGUCUUUGUUUUCUAAAAUUUACCAAAAAUAAAGUUCUGAAUUUCUGCAUCAAUCUAUUUCUACCAAAAUAUAGGACAGUUUUUCUUUUUGACCCUUAUCACAUUCUACAUUUCAUAGAGGCCAAGUUGGUCUUGGAGGCGGCAGAAGUUGUGCAGGCAGCCAGAGCCUCACUGCUGCUCAAGGUGGGCAUCUAGCUCACGUUGGCAGCUGUGUAACAACCCUGAAAUCAUAUAGCUGCCAGGCCCCACCUGAAUUAGAGCUGACCUUAAGAUGGGUUUUGUAAACCAUUUAAAUAGAUCUCUCCUUUUGGAAAGUUUUCAGAGUAAAAAAGAAGAAAACAAUAAAAUGUCUCCAAUUUGCAGACCCUCCCUCUGAGAUCUGCUACAUGCAGCCUUCAUGCCCUCCCCAGCACUGAACCAUGAUCCCCAGUGGGUCCUAAAGCCAUAGGACUGAUGGAAAACAAGUAAAACAUGGCUUAGAACUGCCUGCAUGGAACGAGAACUGCCCUUUCCAUGUUGCUGGGCCCAUUGUAUUAGCCCUGGGAGACAGAGGAGGAUGUGGAAGAAAUUUGGAGACAAACCUGGCUGGGUAUGGAGGGUAUUGGGGCAAAUCGCUUAGUGUUUCCUUUUUGGAGAAAAAAAGAAAAAGCACCACCCAGGCCAGGGUCUGGUACAUAGCAGGCGCUCAAGAAAUAGUUGUUGAAUGAGUGACGAUUGAAUUACACUGUCUCCCCUACUUCUGUUGCUUAUCUAGUUACCCUUCUCUUGAUUUUGGAGAAAGCCUGUUCAGAGACUUGGUACUGCAUGGAGGAUAAUGCUUUCGGCUCUGUGUUUAAUCAUUCAAACAAUAUGUUUGAGUGUUUACUGUGUUCCAGGCAUUGAGGGUAUGAUGGUUUGCAAAACCAUAUGAAAUUGUUACUUUCAUGGCACUUGCAAUCCAAUGAGAUAAAUCAGACAUGGGUUUUGAAUCCUUACCCUGUCAUUCACUAGCUCUUUAACUAUGGAUGGCUUACUAAUAUCUUUGUGCCUCAGUUUCCUUAUGCAUAAAAAACUAUAAUAAUAGUACUUAAUUAAAUUUAUAUACAUAUAUACAAAACAGAAUAUUGUCUGCUAUUUAAUAAGCACUGUAUAAAUGUUUGUGAAUAUCUCAUAUAUUGCUGGGAGGAUUCGAUAUGAAAAUGCAUGUAAUGAGCUCAGCAUGAUGUGGGCACAUAUGAAGAACCUCUCAAUAGAUUAUUAUGAACCUAUUAUGGGUAGCCUUAAGCAUUCUAGCAAUUCUAAACUUGAGGUAGACGAGGUGGGAUGUGGUGGGGAGUGGAUCAGAGGGAGAGUAACAUUAGGUCCUGUGCAACUAAAAAUCUAUUUUCUUUUUUCUUUUUCUUUUCUUUUUUUUUUUUUUUGAGACAGA